CCACGAUAUAUGAUUAUCUCAUGUAUUCCGGUAAAAAAAUUUCAAAAACAAGAAAAAUCAUGACUCAAAAAUGCAAAUAUCGGUCAUUUUAGUUAAACACCACACCCGCGUUGCGUUCAGCGUUUUUAGUCUUCUUGUUUACUCAGUCAUACUUUUCACUCGAGUGUGGCUAGUAUAAAAUAGACAUGUGUUCGUCGAACGUGAAGAUUUAUUUCGGUGUCUUUUGAAAAAGAGAAGUGAACGGAAUAUGCUUAGUUUUGAAAAAAAAGUUGAAAGUAUUUUUUCCGCUGGUGAUCAAUGAUGGGCUCGUAAUAAUAGAUCUUUUUCUGCUUUUCGAAAUUUUGUUUGUUGUUCCGUUACGUUUCUCAGUUUACCCCAUUCAACGCGCCCGCACGUGUGUGUUAAAUGGUGUUUCAUGCUUAAGAAUUACAUAUUUCCUUAUUUUUAUGAACACGAAAACUCAAAAAUUUGAAUUUUUGCCCGUUUUCAUGUUUUUAUGCAAUAUUGGCAGAAUAUAUUCCGAAAUUCGUUUUGGCCAACUAAACUUUAGGGGAAACUGCCAUUCUUGCAAUAUUUUUUUACUUUUUGUGCUAUUUAUUUUCUAAACUAUUUUUUGUGACAGACCCGGCUACCAAAUGUAUUUGCUCAUAAUUUUCACUGCCUCUUCCCCUGCAUAAUAUGCAUAUAUGCCGGUCAUAAAAUUACGAACGGACCCAUAUAUGAUCACACAUCACCCACCUACACGUAUAUACGUGUGCAUGCCACGGUGCGUUGGGAAGAAAAAAUAUCCGGUCUGCUCUCAGUCUGUCACGUCUGUCACUUCAUAACAUAACCUUACAUAAGGUUCAGGUUAUGUCCACGAGAUUUUUUAGGUUAAGGAUUAACUAAUAAUAUUUUACUGUAUCAGAGCGAAUAACAGUGAAUAAAAAAGUAGUGGAAUUAAAAAAAUAGAAAUUAGAAUCGAGGGAAUCGAAUAGUCAAAACAUUUGCGACAUGGAAAAAUUUAGUGACAGCUGGAGAACACUCGUCAUUGCGGAUGAGAAAUAUUCUAUUCGUUGUUUGGAACGAGAUAGAUCUUUCAAAAUAUUUCUCACGAACCUUCAUGACAUUUGGAUUGAGUAUCUGGAUGAAAAUAAUAUUAUACAAAAGUGCAAGACAUUGAACCCGAGUUUGAGCAUAGAGGAUAUGGAUAUUGUUCGCUACAUCGGACAGCUCCUCAUGGAUAUAGAAAAACGUGCUGUAAAAAAAUCUGUUGAACACAUCGAAUUUGCUGAAAAUUUAGAUGGUGGUAUUUUUAAAUUCUCUAUUGACUUUGAGAAAGGAAGUUCUCAGCAACUUUGGGAGGAAGUAACAAUGCCGCUUUGUCUUUUGGCUGGUGAACUGCAGAGGAGACAAACAAUACUAUUGGAUCUAGUCAGGAAAAAGGAUGAAGAGAUUACGGAGUACAAACUCAAUGGAGCUAAAUUAACAAGAAGGCAAAAAGUGGUGUGUAAAUAUUCUACCCUGUUGACUGUCCAUCCAAUUACGUCAAGAAACAAAAGAUUUAUUUCUAUGACAAGAAUCUACUCAAAGUAUAUAACAACAGAAAAGUUUGAUCAAGCGGUAUUUCAAAGAAAUGCACCAAAGCUCGAUAUCAAACACAUAUUUGAAUCGUUCGAAAACGUUAUGGCGAUGCAAGCUGAAGUGAAAGAUUCCAUCAAACUCAAACCAGUGUGUCUGACACAAGAAAACAAUGACGUGGCCUUGAUAAAGAAUGAAGUUCUGGAGGAUUCCGAAUCAACAGAACAGCGUGAAAAUUCUUCAACAAUCUUGGAAAAUAUCGAAGAUACGUCAAACGUUAAAAUAAAAAAGAUUAAAAAACCAAUGGAUGACGAUUAUGGGGAAAAUGAAGCGAUGACGCGAAAAAAGUCUCGUAGUGCUCCUACCGAAUCGUUCAAAAAGACGAAAAAUACUAUUCAUGAUUUUAUAAAAUGAGAAUUCAGAAUUUUCAACAGUUUUUUUAAUGUCAAAUCAUUUUGGUACCGACAAAUGUUGUAGAGAAUAUUACUCAGGAGAGAAGCCGAUUUGAUCAUGUCAACAAAAAGUCUAUAUUGAUUCUAACCAAAGAGCAUGGCAAUAAAGGAGUAUUUUAAUUAUUUUAUUUCAAUCAAUAUUGGACAUUGUUUGUCACAAUUGAAAGGAAUUAUAAUACAUCAAAUUAUUCCAGCUAAUUAGUUUCUAAGAACACUAAUUUUUACUUGGAUUGUGAUUUGUUUAAAUAAACAUUUAUUUCAAUGAAAAAAUC
Molecule: unclassified non-coding RNA, 2284 nt
Filed under: Venturia canescens
Lineage: Eukaryota; Metazoa; Arthropoda; Insecta; Hymenoptera; Ichneumonidae
Description: non-homologous end-joining factor 1-like, transcript variant X5
Source: RNAcentral